AGUGAACGCUGGCGGUAGGCCUAACACAUGCAAGUCGAACGGCAGCACAGUAAGAGCUUGCUCUUACGGGUGGCGAGUGGCGGACGGGUGAGGAAUACAUCGGAAUCUACUUUUUCGUGGGGGAUAACGUAGGGAAACUUACGCUAAUACCGCAUACGACCUACGGGUGAAAGCAGGGGAUCUUCGGACCUUGCGCGAUUGAAUGAGCCGAUGUCGGAUUAGCUAGUUGGCGGGGUAAAGGCCCACCAAGGCGACGAUCCGUAGCUGGUCUGUGAGGAUGAUCAGCCACACUGGAACUGAGACACGGUCCAGACUCCUACGGGAGGCAGCAGUGGGGAAUAUUGGACAAUGGGCGCAAGCCUGAUCCAGCCAGACCGCGUGGGUGAAGAAGGCCUUCGGGUUGUAAAGCCCUUUUGUUGGGAAAGAAAAGCAGCAGGUUAAUACCCCGCUGUUCUGACGGUACCCAAAGAAUAAGCACCGGCUAACUUCGUG
RNAcentral lists this ribosomal RNA (492 nucleotides) under uncultured bacterium. RNAcentral describes it as "partial 16S ribosomal RNA". It matches the Rfam family "Bacterial small subunit ribosomal RNA", at positions 29 to 507 of the family's 1533-position model. The record is from RNAcentral.